GAUGAAGAACGUAGCGAAAUGCGAUAAGUAAUGCGAAUUGCAGAAUUUCCGUGAGUCAUCGAAUCUUUGAACGCACAUUGCGCCCACUGGUAUUCCGGUGGGCAUGCCUGUUCGAGCGUCAUUAUCCUCCCUCAAACCCCGGGUUUGGUGUUGGACCCAAGUUGUGUGAACAACUGGUCUCAAAGACAAUGACGGCGUCCGUGGGACCCUCGGUGCAACGAGCUUUUAGGCGCACGCAUCGAGUUGCAAGGACCUUCCGGGCCGGUCUCCUUUACCAUUUUACAAGGUUGACCUCGGAUCAGGUAGGAAUACCCGCUGAACUUAAGCAUAUCAAUAAGCGGAGGA
RNAcentral lists this unclassified non-coding RNA (345 nucleotides) under soil metagenome. Its description in RNAcentral is "partial contains 5.8S ribosomal RNA, internal transcribed spacer 2, and large subunit ribosomal RNA". The stretch from base 1 to 121 matches the Rfam family "5.8S ribosomal RNA", at positions 35 to 154 of the family's 154-position model. The record is from RNAcentral.